Molecule: long non-coding RNA, 8452 nt
Filed under: Ananas comosus (pineapple)
Lineage: Eukaryota; Viridiplantae; Streptophyta; Magnoliopsida; Poales; Bromeliaceae
Description: long non-coding RNA (ACOM_LNC036472)
Source: RNAcentral
UUUUAUCCAACAAUAAAUUUGGAUUUACUUUGUCACAUAGUAAUUUCAGGAAUCAAAGAUAAUUAUUCUUUCAAUUGUUCAAAAUGGUCCGGACAGUAUCAAAUUAUGCCAAAUUGGAUGCAAGUGCCACAUUAAUAAUUUGGAGAACUUUGCAAUUUUUCUAGCAAAUCUGAACAAACUUCAAGUAGAGGAAUAGGACCACUAUAUCGAAAAUUCCUAAUAGUUGACUCUGAAGUCUUUGUAGUCACAUUUCGCACCGUUUUAUAUUAACUCAAUUCACAAUUCCUUACUCUUCUCUAACAGGUCUUCCACUCGCAAGUCGACUCAAAAAUCAUGCCGACAAGGAUGUAUUUCCUCUCGAGGGCAUUCUGCUUAGAAGUCACAAUUCGUCACACAUUUCCAUGAGCUCUUGUGGUAGAAAAUUCCCUCCAAUGAAAUAGGAAACUGCUUUUGAGGCAAUCAGCUUGUUGACGAAGCUCUACGUAAUUUAUCCUUUUCACAUCAAGCAAGGCUCAACGGCUACUUUUGUCUCCAAUUUGAAGAAGCAGGCGCUUUUCCUUUUCCGAGGCACGACGUUAACUCGAGUAUACAGCUCGAUCAUGCUACAUAAGCAGUUGCUGAAAUACCGUUUCCUACUAGCUUAGUCGAAAAGCUGCUUUUAGAGAAAGCCACAUAUCAAUCUAUUAUGCUGAUGGCGCUUUUGGCGGUGCAGUUGUAUAGUCAUUUUCCUUCUUCCCGCACUUUUCCUGCUAGGUUAUUAUUGUAGUUAUGCCAUGUAUUUACAUCAAUUCUUUUUCAUGUACGUAUCACAUAGAACAGAAAUUUGCAUUGUUUUUGAGAAACUUGUAUACAUUUCUUAUCUAGCGGAACGAAGAUCGAUCAAAUUCACAAUUUCGCUUUAUUUUUUGCUCCAUUGAAAAAUUGUCGAGAAUCUGAAAGGUGAUCGUGCAAGGUGUAUCAAUUCUCUUCUAGUUUUUACUGCUUUUUUAAUCCACUAGAUUUUCACCCGUGCGAUGCACGGCUAAUAUAAUAAUAUAGAAUAAUAAAAAUUAUUAUGUAAUGAUAACAAAAAAAUUUUCUAAUUAAUUUUAUAUUUUUUAACAAAUAAAAAAAUAUACUAUCAAUCUUAAUUAUAGUACAUAUUAAAGUAUACAAGCUAGAGAAAAAAAAUUUGGACCAAAGUAAAUAUUCAACUAAAAUACAAAAUUCAAUCCUGCUCUAUUAUCUAUGAAUUGGUGUGCAAAACAAUUUACAUUUAUAUAUUGAUGUGCGAAAUAAAAUGAUAACUAAAAUUGAUAUGAAAAAUUACAAAUGACAUUAAUAUUUAAGCAUAUAAUGAGAUCAACUAAACUUUCAUAUUUGACACAAAUUAGAGUAAGCACACAUAUAUUAUGUUCCUACUGUCGCUUUUAAGAUUCAAAAAUAUAUAGAUGUUGGUUUUCAAGAAAAUAUAAAGAAAAAAAAUUUUGUUGCAUGAAGAUGAAAAGUUACAUGAGUGACAGAAGGGAAAAAAAUUACGAAAUGAAAAUUACAGAAGUGACAGUAGGGAAAUAAUAUGUUCUAUUUUAAAGCAUCAAUAUUUAAGGGCGAAGAAAAUUACAGUAGUGAUGUGAGUUUUAAAUUUUUUUCUCUUUCCAAAAAUGCCUCUAUCCUUUUUUACUAAUAUUUUUAUGUCCAGAAAUUUUCAACCAAUCAUUUUAAAUAAUUAACUAAGUAAUAAUUUAUUCCCAAAUAAAGAUAAAUAUUUUUCUUCUCACGCGUAAUAUCCGCACCGCCAAUUCUUUCGCAACAUAAUAUCCAUAAAUUUCUCAAAUAUCUCAACAUAAUUAUAGGUGACUUUGAAAUAAAAUUUCCUUCAUUAUAUGUGAUUUUUAAUAAUAUAGUAAAAGAUAUUAAUUUUUUAUAAAAACGUGAGUUUUGAAUUUUUUCUCUUUCCAAAAAUGUCUCUAUCCUUUUUUACUAAUAUUUUUAUGUCCAGAAAUUUUCAACCAAUCAUUUUAAAUAAUUAACUAAGUAAUAAUUUAUUCCCAAAUAAAGAUAAAUAUUUUUCUUCUCACGCGUAAUAUCCGCACCGCCAAUUCUUUCGCAACAUAAUAUCCAUAAAUUUUUCAAAUAUCUCAACAUAAUUAUAGGUGACUUUGAAAUAAAAUUUCCUUCAUUAUAUGUGAUUUUUAAUAAUAUAGUAAAAGAUAUUAAUUUUUUAUAAAAACGUGAGUUUUGAAUUUUUUCUCUUUCCAAAAAUGUCUCUAUCCUUUUUUACUAAUAUUUUUAUGUCCAGAAAUUUUCAACCAAUCAUUUCAAAUAAUUAACUAAGUAGUAAUUUAUUCCCAAAUAAAGAUAAAUAUUUUUCUUCUCACGCAUAAUAUCUGCACCGGUCAAUUUUUUUGCCACAUAAUAUCCGUGAAUUUUUUAAAUAUCUCAACAUAAUUAUAGGUGACUUUGAAAUAAUUUCUCCUUCAUUAUAGGUGAUUUUUAAUAAUAUAGCAAAAGAUAUUAAUUUUUUGCCAUUAGAUCUUAUCUAAUGAUUGAAAAUAAAAAUAUCUGUUAAUUUUUGUGACAAUAUUACCCUCGCAUUUAUAUCCUAUUUUCUAUCUUUUCUAAAAUAAAAUAUCUAUAUUUGAACUUGACACGUAGAUUAUUUUUCCUAAAGCAGUAAUAUCCGCACCCGCCAAUUCUUUCGCGUGAAUUUCUCAAAUAUCUCAACAUAAUUAUAGGUGACUUUGAAAUAAAAUCACCUUCAUUCAUUAUAGGUGAUUUUUAAUAAUAUUGUAAAAUAUACUAUUUCCUUAAAAAAUUUAAUUUUAUUUUUCCUAAAGUAGUCAUAUUCCCUAAAGUAGUAAUAUCCGCACAACAUAAUUAUAGGUGACUUUAAAAUAUUCCCUAAAAUAGAAAAUCUAUAUUUGAGCUUAACACGUAAUAGAAAAUCUAUAUUUGAGCUUAACACGUAGAUUUUCUAUAUAUUAAAAGAUAUUAUUUUCUUAAAAAAUCUAAUUUUUUUCUAAAAUAAAAAAUCUAUAUUUGAGCUUGACACGUGGCAAACAUAUAAAGCGCCACGUGUCAGCUUUUCACAUAGGGUUCAUUAAGGAUUCUACUUUAGUAUAUAGUAAUAGAAGAUAGAUAAUUUAAAUAAAAUAUCCAAAAUUUUAAAUAUUAGUAGGUAAAUUUGAGAUAACUUUUAUAUAUUUUGCUUUAAAAAAAUAUGAUUUAAUAUUAUAUAUGCGGAAGGUAUUAUGUGAUUGGAUAUUAUAUAGGUGGUGGAUAUUAUGUGUGAGAAAAAAAAUUAAGAUAUGCGAAUAUUAUUUGUGAUAAAAUAUGAUAUUAUGUGGGCGACGGUUAUUAGAAGAUAUGACAUGCAUAUAAAAAGUGAAAUUUGAUACGUACUAUUUGAAAGCAAUUUAGAUAAAAAAAGUGACAAAUAUUUUGUAUUCGUCAGUCAAUUAGAUUUAUUGACUAAGAAUUAAUAUAUUUUAUAAUAAUUUAAAUAAAAUAUCUAAUAUUUUAAAUUUGAGAUAACUUUUAUAUAUUCUGCUUUUAAAAAAUAUGAUUAAAUAUUAUAUAUGUUAAUAUAUUUUAUAAUGUUUUAAAUAAAAUAUCCAAUAUUUUAAAUAUUAGUAGGUAAAUUUGAGAUAACUUUUAUAUAUUUUGUUUUAAAAAAAUAUGAUUAAAUAUUAUAUAUGCGGAAGAUAUUAUAUUAAUAGGGACCGGUAUUUUGGGAAAGAGGAAAAAAUUCAAAACUAUCAUUUUUAUAAAUAGUAUAGAUCAGCAGUUAACUGAAAAUAAUGUAUAAACAUUCAAAAGAUAUAUCUAUAAUUAUAAACACAUACUUGUUAUCCUCAAGUAGUAUCGUAAUCUUUUUUAUUUCUUUACCGUCCUUCCAGUUUUCUUCCAUUCUACUAAUUCCAGUAAGCUUCCCGAUGACAUCUGAGAUAAUAUAAUAAUAAAAUGUAAGAAUCAAUAUAAUAGAUAGACAUAUUAAAAAUUAAAUUUUAAAAAUUAAAUAUUUAAUGCAUAUACUAACUCUUACCUACUAAAUAUUUGUUAUCAGCGACAUUACCAAGUAUUUCAUCAAAAGGGGUAAAUAUAAAUCCAUACUUUGAUAUGGUCAAAACAUUUUCUAUCACACGUACAACCGUAGAAUAUUGAAAAUUGAUUUUGUAAGGAUGAUUAGUGGUCCUGUAGGAGCCGCUGCUCUGCCCCACUCCAAACUGGUUGAUCACAUAAACUUUUCCUUCCGUAAAAAGGCCUUUAAAUUUAUUCAGAAAAGCUUUUCUUAUCGUUGCAUGUGUUCUAUCUCCCUAAAAUAGAAAAUAAACAAAUUAUAUAGUAUAUUUUAGAAAAAAAAUAAAGCAAAUGUAUGUUAAAUUUGAAAAUAAAAUCGUAUCUUACAUUUUGAGUUUGACUGUUAAUUAUCUGCCAAUACAAAAUUUGAGUUUGACUGUUAGAUUAUUGAUUUCGGAACCAAUAAUUUUAAAUAAUUAAUUAUCUGCCAAUACGAAAUUUGAGUUUGACCCUUUUUUUCGCAACUAACCAUUUCAAAUAAUUCGCAACAGAUUAUUGCUUAUUUCGCAACCAAUAAUUUUAAAUAAUUAAUUAUCUGCCAAUACGAAAUUUGAGUUUGACCCUUUUUUUCGCAACUAACCAUUUCAAAUAAUUCGCAACACUUUGAUACGGUCAAAACAUUUUCUAUCUCACGUACAACCGUAGAAUAUUGAAAAUUGAUUUUGUAAGGAUGAUUAGUGGUCCUGUAGGAGCCGCUGCUCUGCCCCACUCCAAACUGGUUGAUCACAUAAACUUUUCCUUCCGUAAAAAGGCCUUUAAAUUUAUUCAGAAAAGCUUUUCUUAUCGUUGCAUGUGUUCUAUCUCCCUAAAAUAGAAAAUAAACAAAUUAUAUAGUAUAUUUUAGAAAAAAAAUAAAGCAAAUGUAUGUUAAAUUUGAAAAUAAAAUCGUAUCUUACAUUUUGAGUUUGACUGUUAAUUAUCUGCCAAUACAAAAUUUGAGUUUGACUGUUAGAUUAUUGAUUUCGGAACCAAUAAUUUUAAAUAAUUAAUUAUCUGCCAAUACGAAAUUUGAGUUUGACCCUUUUUUUCGCAACUAACCAUUUCAAAUAAUUCGCAACACUUUGAUACGGUCAAAACAUUUUCUAUCUCACGUACAACCGUAGAAUAUUGAAAAUUGAUUUUGUAAGGAUGAUUAGUGGUCCUGUAGGAGCCGCUGCUCUGCCCCACUCCAAACUGGUUGAUCACAUAAACUUNGAGAAAAAAAAUAGUUAGGAAUUUGAAUUCGAAUCUGACUAACAAUCACAAAACUUAUUUCCGAACUCGACGGAUUUCAAAAAUCCAUAUCCAAAUUCAAAACUGACCAAUUUUCCGAAACCCAAAACCAAACCUAAGCCAGAAGACUAGAAUUCAAACAAUUAUUUCUGUUUACCAUAUUUCAAAGUAUUUAUAUAAAACUUAAAUUUUUAAAAUAUAAAUUUGAAUAUAAUAUUAAAUUUUAAAUUUAAAAGUGAAUUUUAAAUUAGAGAAAUUUUAUAUUACUAUUUAAAGUUUAAAUUCAAUGAUCAUAUUGUCAAAUCAUUUAAAAUUUUUCCUAUAUGAAAUGCCAAAUUAUAAAAGGAAAGAUAGAAAGAGAAAAAGGAAACAAAGAAAAUAUAAAAAUUUUGAAAAUAUAGUAGAUGUAAAAUGACUAAAUUGCCCAUGUAUUGAAAGACAAAAAUAUCCUUUUUUGAGGUACCUGGUAACCGGUACCUCUUCCAAAGUGACCUCCUAUUGCAUGUCACAAUUUUAAAAAAACUAAAUCUGAGCCGUUAAAUACGCGUGAAUGAACGGUAACCAAAAAAAAAGAGUAUAGAAGCAUUACUCAAAAUAUAAUUAUAGCUCAUAAAGAAAAUUAUUUCUUCUUUAAGUUUUUAUUAUGAAAAUUUGUAAGAUCCAUCCAUAUUGAUUUGAUGAGGGAUCUUAUGAUGACUAGACUAAUUAGAAUAGGACCACAGGUGCACCGAAAGUUCCUUUGCAUUUUCAAAAUUAAAUUUUUAUAAAUAGUUAUGAAAAAAUUUAUAAGAAAAUUAUUUAUUCUAAUUUUUUUAAAAAAUUUUUGUAACAUCUAUCCAUAAAAAUUUAAUUUAAUAAUAAACAAUAUGUGACGCCCCGACUUCCCAGGGGUCACCCAUCCUAGGACUACUUCCGUCCUAGGACGCUUAACUCUCUUAACCUCUUGGACCUUGCCACCACCCAAAAUGGUUAAGCCGGAUUAAGAGUUUAGCCUAUUAUAUCUUAUAUAUAGGACUAUCCGGGGUCUCACAAUCUCCCCUCCUUUAAGCCCUGACGUCCUCGUCAGGCUCAGACUCACAAGUACCAGGAGAUGUGAGACUUGUCUCGCUAGCCCGUCAUCCAGACCAUGACUCAGCCGAGACUCAUCUCACACUUCCGGCUGGUAAUUGGCUCUGAUGCCAUCUGUGAUGCCCCGACUUUCUAGGUGGUCACCCAUCCUAGGACUACUCCCGUUCUAGCACGCUUAACUCUCUUAACCUCUUGGGCCUUGCCACCACCCAAAAUACUUAAGCCGGGUUAAGAGUUUAGCCUAUUAUAUCUUAUAUAUAGGACUAUCUGGGGUCUCACACAAUAUGAUGAAUAAUUAAAGCAAGUUUAUGUUAAAAAUUGAUUAACUUUUAAAUUUUUUUAUUUAUCUUUACUUUUUUGGACUUUAAAAAAUUGUAAAAUACAAAUUAGGGAAUAUUACUUGUUUCCUUAAAAUUCUUAUGCAAAUUUGCAAAACUCUUCUAAGAAAAUUAUUUUUUCUUAAAAUCUUUUAGAAAAAUUGUGAGAUCUAACUAUGAAAAUUUAACAAAAAAUCAUAUGACAAAUACAUUAAAAAAUUUAAAUAUCAAUAAUGUCAAUUUAGUUUUUUGACUUUAGUAGAAUUUUUAUGUUUCUAAAUUCAAUAAUAUAAUUUUCAAAGUUAAAAAUGUCUAAAUCUCAUAUAAAAUGCUAAAUCCAUCCAAGAAAAUUAAAAAUUGGACCAUAUAAUGACUAAACCAAGUGGAUUUAUUUUCGGAUUUUUGUGAAUUGUAAAUAAAACUUUGUAAUUUUCUAUGUAUCACUGACAUUUCUAUAAGCCUCGCAUGUUCGUGUCGUACACGCGCGUCCGUGUCAUACACGUGUCCGAUGUGGACACUUUUUGAACGCACGUUUAAUGUUGAUUCAUAGCGCAUACAACUAAAAUAAAUAUAUACAUAUUUUUCUUUUACUUUUUCUAUGCAUAUAUAAUGUAAGAUGAUAAAUAUUUUAACUUUUUGAUGAAUAUAUAUAAUUUUUUUGACAAUACAAAUAAAUUAUCUAUGGUGGAGAAUUUUUUUCUUAAAGUAUAUGAACUAUCAAUAAAAAUUUUACUAACUUUUAUUCGUAUGAAAAAUAUAGCAAUAUUUUACCAAAAUCAAUAUUUUAUAUAUAAUAAAAAUAUAUUAUUAUAUUGAUAAUAUUAUAUUUUAUUAAUGGUGAUCAUGCCGUGUCCGUGUUCUAAUUAAUAUUUUUAAAAGCUGUCGAGUCGCAGAGUCCGAGUCAUAUCGUGUUCCGUAUUUUGUGUCAGUGCACUUUUCCUUUUCCGAGGCACGACGUUAACUCGAGUACACAGCUUGAUCGUGCUACAUAACCGGUUGCUGAAGUACCAUUUCCUACUAGCUUAGUCGAAAGCUGCUUUUAGAGAAAACCACAUAUCAAUCUAUUAUGCUGAUGGGGCUUUUGGCGGUGCAGUUGUAUAGUCCUUUUCCUUCUUCCCACACUUUUCCUGCUAGGUUAUUAUUGUAGUUAUGCCAUGUAUUUACAUCAAUUCUUUUUCAUGUACGUAUCACGUAGAACAGGAAUUUGCAUUGUAUUUGAAACUCUAAUACAUCUCUUAUUUAGCGGAAUGAAGAUCGAUUAAAUUCACAAUUUCGCUCUAUCUUUUGCUCCAUUGAAAAAUUGUCGAGAAUUUGAAUGGUGAUCAUGCAAGGUAUCAAUUCUCUUCUAAUUUUUACUGCUUUUUUAAUCCAUUGGUCACAGAACAUAUGGCGAAAUUCUCCGUAAAUUAUUGAAUUUCAAAUUUUUAAAAUUUAACAUGGUAAAGUUUGAUUUCAGUAAACGAUGUAACUUCCAUUUAAUAAAAGAAAGAUGUGGUUGUUAAUUCAGCUGACGCGUCGUCUCUUACAGAUAAUAAGAUUGUUGCAAAAUUGAUGUAACAAUUAAAUUAGCUCACAUGUUAUCGACACAGGUACAAAUAUGUGUACUUUUUAAUUAUGUAUUUGUACCCGUUUGGGUAUCUUUGUACGCAUAAUAUCUGUAUCCAAAUCUAAAUCCAUCUCCAACUAGUUGAAUAAUAUCGCAUUCAUUUUCACCCCUAGAUUGGAACCCGAAAAUCCAAACCAACCUGUUUAAUCGGAAGUAUAAAAAAAAAAUAAAACUAUAAAAAAAAAUUACU